UACGGAGGGUGCGAGCGUUGUUCGAAAUUAUUGGGCGUAAAGCGCGCGCAGGCGGCUCUCUAAGUCCAUGGGUAAAAGGCCGGGGCUCAACCCCGUGUACGCCCAGGAUACUGGGGAGCUGGAGACACGUAGAGGCAAGCGGAAUUCCGGGUGUAGCGGUGGAAUGCGUAGAGAUCCGGAAGAACACCGGAGGCGAAGGCGGCUUGCUGGGCGUGAUCUGACGCUGAGGCGCGAAAGCGUGGGGAGCGAACAGG
Molecule: ribosomal RNA, 254 nt
Filed under: uncultured bacterium
Lineage: Bacteria
Description: partial 16S ribosomal RNA
Rfam family: Bacterial small subunit ribosomal RNA
Source: RNAcentral